AGUAGCUGCGAGCGAACGGGGAAGAGUCCAUAGCCGAAUCCCGUGCUUCGCGGUACGGGACAUGUGGCGUAUGGGAGUCGACACCCUUCGAGUGCGCAUCGAGGUGCAAGUCCCCAUGAGAGGGGCGUGCUACCCGGAGCGGGUGCUAGGCCCGUACCGCCUCUUUUCGCGCGCGGAGUCGUCGGCCUCCCGGGAGUCGGGUUACUUGGGAGUGUAGCCCAGAGUGGGUGGUAAACUCCACCUAAGACUAAAUACGACCGAGAGACCGAUAGCGAACAAGUACCGUGAGGGAAAGUUGAAAAGCACUUUGAAGAGAGAGUUCAAGAGUACGUGAAACCGUUCAGAGGUAAACGGGUGGGGCCUCKAAGUCCUAAGGCGGUGGSGCACUCAGGUCGGUACGGGCCCGGGCGUCUCCCGGAGCGGCUCCGACGAACGGAGGCUGCCGGGGAGGCCAUUAACGGGUCCGUUCCGUGCCGCACUUGCGCCCCCUGUCUAACGGGGCGCCGCGACCGGUCGGUAGGCCGUCGUACGGAGGGGUAACGGAAGGUAGCCGCCGCUCUCGUCGGACUCGUUCCGACGCGCGGCGGUGUUAGAGCCGACCCCUCUCCGGCGGGUCGACCGACCGUGGCAUCAUUAAUGUACCUCAACGUUCUCUCGCGAUCGAGCGGAGCGACCGAGGCGGGUUUCGAUUGGAGCGGGCCGUCACCCCGACGGUGGGCCCGCUCUGUAGAAGUCGCCCUGGACGUCGCGUUUCGCGGGGAGCGCGGGGUCGGCGGCGAGUAGGUCGGCAUCCCACCCGACCCGUCUUGAAACACGGACCAAGGAGUCCAAUUCGCGUGCGAGUUCCCGGGACUUGCUUAGGCCCGAGGGCGCAAUGAAAGUGAAGGGUCGUUGAGGCGGCCCGAGUCGGGAUCCGCCGUCCGAAUCGAGGCGGCGGCGCACCGACGGCCCGUCCGGGCCGGUUUCGGCCGGGCGGAGCUAGAGCACGCGGCUUGGGACCCGAAAGAUGGUGAACUAUGCCUGGGCAGGACGAAGCCAGAGGAAACUCUGGUGGAGGUCCGUAGCGGUUCUGACGUGCAAAUCGAUCGUCGGAUCCGGGUAUA
RNAcentral lists this ribosomal RNA (1103 nucleotides) under Nannochelifer sp. JM-2008. RNAcentral's name for it is "eukaryotic LSU rRNA". It matches the Rfam family "Eukaryotic large subunit ribosomal RNA", at positions 82 to 919 of the family's 3401-position model. Lineage: Eukaryota; Metazoa; Arthropoda; Arachnida; Pseudoscorpiones; Cheliferidae. The record is from RNAcentral.